GACAGCCCGGGCCUCAGCUGGCCCCGUGUUCAAGGGCGUCUGUAAGCAGUUCUCACGCUCACAGGGCCAUGGCUUCAUCACCCCCGAGAACGGGUCCGAGGACAUCUUCGUACAUGUGUCUGACAUCGAGGGGGAGUACGUGCCAGUGGAGGGCGACGAGGUGACCUACAAGAUGUGCCCUAUCCCUCCCAAGAACCAGAAGUUCCAGGCCGUGGAGGUGGUGCUCACUCAGCUGGCCCCCCACACUCCCCACGAGACGUGGUCUGGCCAGGUCGUGGGCUCCUAGGCUGAGUGGUUCACAGGCCAGCUGGCCGGGGGUUGGGGAGCCACACAGGGUGAACGGGCAGCAGCCGGCUCCAUGCCCCACUGCCCUGGCUGAUGAGUCCUUCGGUGGCCUCAGUGUGCACGUCUGUCUGUCCGUCUGUGCUUGUGGCUAUGAGCGUGUGCCUCCACCCACCCCACGACCCGUGACUACUGUGCAAGCUGGCCAGGAGGUAGGUGGAGGGCAAGGCCACCAGACCUGGCUUCGCGCUGUCCACUGCCUCUCUCCUCCCCUCCCUGCCGCAGACACGCAGGACCCGCUCGCCCUCCUGCUUACCCGUCCCCACGGUGACUGAGCUGCGAGAGCCUGCGCUGGGCUCACUCCCUGGCCUCCGCCCCUGAGCUGUCCCGUGUCAGUCCCUGGCCCGGAGCCAGGCUCUCUGUGCUACUUACAUCUCCCUCCCUUGGCUGAGGUCCCCCGCCACAGCCUGGACCCUUCCCUCAGAAGCCUGGCCGAUGGGUGCUUUUGGGGAGCCUCUCAGCCUCUGGCAGGGGAGGAGGACUGACACGGAGGCACACAGGCCUCUCACUGCCGAGGCCAGCCUUCCUUCCUGCUCUGCUCUCUCAGUGCCAUGGAGAGGCAGGAAGAGGGGCCUGAGGGCGGAAGGGGUUUGGGGCUCCCAUUUCGCCGGCCAGUCCCUCCUCCUCAGCCUGGCAGUGGCGCUGGGCUCCUUCCCCUGGGCUGUACUGAGCCGAGCCCAGGGGUUUGCAGAGGGUGGGGGUCCAUCUCUCCAGCUUGGCUGCAGACCUCCUUUACCCUGACUCACAAGCCCCACUGAUGCUCUGGGCCAUGCCCGGCUGACGGCUGCUGUGGAUGCCGCGAGGGACGGACACACGUCCGGGGCACCCACGAGGAGGGCCCCCAGCCUGGGAGACUGGCCCUGCGGCCUCCACGUCAAACUCUCUUCCCAAAGCCCUAACAGACCAGUGGCCGAGGUGUGGCUCUUAUUGCAUCCAUCCCUGAAGAUGUGUGGCUGUUGCUGUCACCUGGAGUCCUUUUGGGGCCAAGAUGUGUGUGCACCCGGGGUCGUGGCCAUUCACUCCCAGGCAGGGGUGAGGGUGGCCUGGCCCAGGAGGCCAGGAAGGAGGGCCCUGUCUGCCUCCACCUCUGGGUGCACCCCCUGCCUACCACCCUCCCUUCUAGAGAGCACAUCGCCUGACCGGGGAGAAGUGGGGCCGUGGUUCGAGGGAGGGCUGGCCAGGGGUGGGACCCUUAUGAGACUCAGUCUGUGAGUAAAACUGGGGGCUCAAAUGCCCAGGAUGAGGGGAUCAGUGACUGUCUAGGAGGAUCCCUUGCCUUGUAGGUGCCCCAAGACCGCAGGGUAGAAAUCAGCCGGGAUGCCUGCAUCCCACCCCCGGCCCCAGGGCCCACCACAUAAAAUCUGGGAGCCCAGAGCUGCUGAGGUGUGGUCAGCUCCCCUAAAAUGGGCACGGCCCAGCCUGUCCCAUGAGGAAUAAAGGCCCCUGGCCCCCUUGAGAGAGGGCUUGUUGGUGAGGGCUGACUCCUGGGGGCCCCCAAGGCUCCCCUCCUGUGGGGAGGCCACCUUUUAAGGCACCACUAGCAGUCAGGAUAUGGUGGCAUCAGCCCUGGGGCCUCCUGGGUGGCAGGGGGGCAGCAGCUCUCCUCCCCACUCACAGGCCCUGCAGUGCUCAUUUGGAAUUCCUCCCAAGACCCCUGGCCACCCAGACCCCCCAUUCUUCCUAACACUGGCAAUAAACCCUCAACUGUG
RNAcentral lists this long non-coding RNA (2051 nucleotides) under Homo sapiens (human). RNAcentral's name for it is "HSALNT0278244". The record is from RNAcentral. Lineage: Eukaryota; Metazoa; Chordata; Mammalia; Primates; Hominidae.